GGGUUGUGAGGUUAAGCGACUAAGCGUACACGGUGGAUGCCCUGGCAGUCAGAGGCGAUGAAGGACGUGCUAAUCUGCGAAAAGCGUCGGUAAGGUGAUAUGAACCGUUAUAACCGGCGAUGUCCGAAUGGGGAAACCCAGUGCAAUUCGUUGCACUAUCGUUAACUGAAUACAUAGGUUAACGAGGCGAACCGGGGGAACUGAAACAUCUAAGUACCCCGAGGAAAAGAAAUCAACCGAGAUUCCCCCAGUAGCGGCGAGCGAACGGGGAGCAGCCCAGAGUCUGAAUCAGCUUGUGUGUUAGUGGAACGGUCUGGAAAGUCCGACGGUACAGGGUGAUAGUCCCGUACACCAAAAUGCACAGGUUGUGAACUCGAAGAGUAGGGCGGGACACGUGGUAUCCUGUCUGAAUAUGGGGGGACCAUCCUCCAAGGCUAAAUACUCCUGACUGACCGAUAGUGAACCAGUACCGUGAGGGAAAGGCGAAAAGAACCCCGGCGAGGGGAGUGAAAAAGAACCUGAAACCGUGUACGUACAAGCAGUGGGAGCACCUUCGGGUGUGACUGCGUACCUUUUGUAUAAUGGGUCAGCGACUUAUAUUCUGUAGCAAGGUUAACCGUAUAGGGGAGCCGCAGGGAAACCGAGUCUUAACUGGGCGUUAAGUUGCAGGGUAUAGACCCGAAACCCGGUGAUCUAGCCAUGGGCAGGUUGAAGGUUGGGUAACACUAACUGGAGGACCGAACCGACUAAUGUUGAAAAAUUAGCGGAUGACUUGUGGCUGGGGGUGAAAGGCCAAUCAAACCGGGAGAUAGCUGGUUCUCCCCGAAAGCUAUUUAGGUAGCGCCUCGUGAACUCAUCUUCGGGGGUAGAGCACUGUUUCGGCUAGGGGGUCAUCCCGACUUACCAACCCGAUGCAAACUACGAAUACCGAAGAAUGUUAUCACGGGAGACACACGGCGGGUGCUAACGUCCGUCGUGAAGAGGGAAACAACCCAGACCGCCAGCUAAGGUCCCAAAGUCAUGGUUAAGUGGGAAACGAUGUGGGAAGGCACAGACAGCCAGGAUGUUGGCUUAGAAGCAGCCAUCAUUUAAAGAAAGCGUAAUAGCUCACUGGUCGAGUCGGCCUGCGCGGAAGAUGUAACGGGGCUAAACCAUGCACCGAAGCUGCGGCAGCGACACUAUGUGUUGUUGGGUAGGGGAGCGUUCUGUAAGCCUGCGAAGGUGUGCUGUGAGGCAUGCUGGAGGUAUCAGAAGUGCGAAUGCUGACAUAAGUAACGAUAAAGCGGGUGAAAAGCCCGCUCGCCGGAAGACCAAGGGUUCCUGUCCAACGUUAAUCGGGGCAGGGUGAGUCGACCCCUAAGGCGAGGCCGAAAGGCGUAGUCGAUGGGAAACAGGUUAAUAUUCCUGUACUUGGUGUUACUGCGAAGGGGGGACGGAGAAGGCUAUGUUAGCCGGGCGACGGUUGUCCCGGUUUAAGCAUGUAGGCUGGUUAUCCAGGCAAAUCCGGAUAAUCAAGGCUGAGGUGUGAUGACGAGGCACUACGGUGCUGAAGUAACAAAUGCCCUGCUUCCAGGAAAAGCCUCUAAGCAUCAGGUAACAUCAAAUCGUACCCCAAACCGACACAGGUGGUCAGGUAGAGAAUACCAAGGCGCUUGAGAGAACUCGGGUGAAGGAACUAGGCAAAAUGGUGCCGUAACUUCGGGAGAAGGCACGCUGGUGUGUAGGUGAAGCCCCUGCGGGUGGAGCUGAGACCAGUCGAAGAUACCAGCUGGCUGCAACUGUUUAUUAAAAACACAGCACUGUGCAAACACGAAAGUGGACGUAUACGGUGUGACGCCUGCCCGGUGCCGGAAGGUUAAUUGAUGGGGUUAUCCGUAAGGAGAAGCUCUUGAUCGAAGCCCCGGUAAACGGCGGCCGUAACUAUAACGGUCCUAAGGUAGCGAAAUUCCUUGUCGGGUAAGUUCCGACCUGCACGAAUGGCGUAAUGAUGGCCAGGCUGUCUCCACCCGAGACUCAGUGAAAUUGAACUCGCUGUGAAGAUGCAGUGUACCCGCGGCAAGACGGAAAGACCCCGUGAACCUUUACUAUAGCUUGACACUGAACAUUGAGCCUUGAUGUGUAGGAUAGGUGGGAGGCUUUGAAGCGUGGACGCCAGUCUGCGUGGAGCCAACCUUGAAAUACCACCCUUUAAUGUUUGAUGUUCUAACGUUGGCCCCUGACCGGGGUUGCGGACAGUGUCUGGUGGGUAGUUUGACUGGGGCGGUCUCCUCCCAAAGCGUAACGGAGGAGCACGAAGGUUAGCUAAUCCUGGUCGGACAUCAGGAGGUUAGUGCAAUGGCAUAAGCUAGCUUGACUGCGAGCGUGACGGCGCGAGCAGGUGCGAAAGCAGGUCAUAGUGAUCCGGUGGUUCUGAAUGGAAGGGCCAUCGCUCAACGGAUAAAAGGUACUCCGGGGAUAACAGGCUGAUACCGCCCAAGAGUUCAUAUCGACGGCGGUGUUUGGCACCUCGAUGUCGGCUCAUCACAUCCUGGGGCUGAAGUAGGUCCCAAGGGUAUGGCUGUUCGCCAUUUAAAGUGGUACGCGAGCUGGGUUUAGAACGUCGUGAGACAGUUCGGUCCCUAUCUGCCGUGGGCGCUGGAGAAUUGAGGGGGGCUGCUCCUAGUACGAGAGGACCGGAGUGGACGCAUCACUGGUGUUCGGGUUGUCAUGCCAAUGGCACUGCCCGGUAGCUAAAUGCGGAAGAGAUAAGUGCUGAAAGCAUCUAAGCACGAAACUUGCCCCGAGAUGAGUUCUCCCUGAGACUUUAAGUCUCCUGAAGGAACGUU
This 2825-nucleotide ribosomal RNA is filed under the name Klebsiella pneumoniae. Its description in RNAcentral is "partial 23S ribosomal RNA". It matches the Rfam family "Bacterial large subunit ribosomal RNA". Lineage: Bacteria; Pseudomonadati; Pseudomonadota; Gammaproteobacteria; Enterobacterales; Enterobacteriaceae. The record is from RNAcentral.